Molecule: non-coding RNA, 188 nt
Filed under: unclassified sequences
Description: RT-15 RNA
Rfam family: RT-15 RNA
About the family: Proteobacteria. Nearby to self-splicing intron genes
Source: Rfam by way of RNAcentral
CGUCGCCUGCUGUAUGACCGUCACGGCGGCCAUACCCGUGCGUUUUUGAAUCUGGUCGUGCCGCUGGCCACCGGCCACCGCCACGCGCACCAGGGAAACCACCGGGCCGCGCCCGGCAGGUCCCGCGCAGUUUCCCCGCUGAUCGGCCCCGGCCUUCGGCGAGGCGACGUAGAUAGCACGACACGGCG